CUACCUUUAGCAGCACAUACACUAAAACUGGAAUGAUACAGAGAAGAUUAGCAGGCCCUUAUACAAACAUGAUCCGCAAAUUCAUGAGGUAUUCCAUAUUUUA
Molecule: small nuclear RNA, 103 nt
Organism: Leopardus geoffroyi (Geoffroy's cat)
Lineage: Eukaryota; Metazoa; Chordata; Mammalia; Carnivora; Felidae
Source: RefSeq, a predicted model, not a curated record